Molecule: long non-coding RNA, 1330 nt
Organism: Salvelinus fontinalis (brook trout)
Lineage: Eukaryota; Metazoa; Chordata; Actinopteri; Salmoniformes; Salmonidae
Exons: 2
Source: RefSeq, a predicted model, not a curated record
GUUUACUGCUCCUUCACCAAUAACCUAAAGACAUGGAGCUGCUGUUUACCGCUCCUUCACCAAUAACCUAAAGACAUGGAGCUGCUGUUUACCGCUCCUUCACCAAUAACCUAAAGACAUGGAGCUGCUGUUUACCCCUCCUUCACCUUUUCAGAAAUGUUGAUUAAUGUGCACUGCUCCUGUAAAAAAAUAAAACUUAAUCAUAAUAAUGCCUGAAUAAUGUAUAGAAUAUCAAGGUUCAGAGUGAGGAUAACAUAGCAUCAUAUAGAGGACCAGUGUGUGUAUGUCAUGAUAAUCUCUGGUGGACAGACUACAUCAACAUAAAUGAUACCAUACAUCUGUCAUCAUACAACGGGAUGCGCGACAUAACGCGCUACUUCUGGAGCUUUGGACAGAUCACCAUUUCACAGGUGUUAGCAUCUUUGACUUCUCACAGGUGUUAGCAUCUUUGACUUCUCACAGGUGUUAGCAUCUUUGACUUCUUACAGGUGUUAGCAUCUUUGACUUCUCACAGGUGUUAGCAUCUUUGACUUCUCGCAGGUGUAAGCAUCUUUGACUUCUCACAGGUGUUAGCAUCUUUGACUUCUUACAGGUGUUAGCAUCUUUGACUUCUUACAGGUGUUAGCAUCUUUGACUUCUCGCAGGUGAUAGCAUCUUUGACUUCUCGCAGGUGUUAGCAUCUUUGACUUCUCGCAGGUUUUAGCAUCUUUGACUUUUCGCAGGUUUUAGCAUCUUUGACUUCUCGCAGGUGUAAGCAUCUUUGACUUCUUGCAGGUGUUAGCAUCUUUGACUUCUCACAGGUGAUAGCAUCUUUGACUUCUCACAGGUGAUAGCAUCUUUGACUUCUCGCAGGUGUUAGCAUCUUUGACUUCUCACAGGUGUUAGCAUCUUUGACUUCUCGCAGGUGUUAGCAUCUUUCACAUUUCACAGGUGUUAGCAUCUUUCACAUUUCACAAGUGUUAGCAUCUUUCACAUUUCACAGGUGUUAGCAUCUUUCACAUUUCACAAGGGAAGGGGACAUUUGGUCCAUAGUCUCGCCCGUAACUUGCAAAGAGAGGGUGGAGCUCUUCGUUCCGGUUCCAAUCCUCAUUCUAUCUUUUCUCUUGAAGUCCCCAUGCAGUUGUUGCAAUGAGAGGGUGGAACUCUUCGUUCCGGUUCAUUCUAUCUCUUCUCUUAAAGCCCCUCUUCAUUCCAGUUCAUUCUAUCUCUUCUCUUAAAGCCACUCUUCGUUCCGGUUCAUUCUAUCUAUCUAUCAGUUUUUUUAAAAUUGUAUUUUUAAAUCAUCAUCAUUGUAUGUCUAAUUAAAUCACUGUUUAUUUCAUUAAAAUAA